Molecule: transfer RNA, 75 nt
Filed under: Bdellovibrio phage phi1422
Lineage: Duplodnaviria; Heunggongvirae; Uroviricota; Caudoviricetes
Rfam family: tRNA
About the family: Transfer RNA (tRNA) molecules are approximately 80 nucleotides in length.
Source: Rfam by way of RNAcentral
CGGGGAUUGGAGAAGUUUGGAGUUCUCGCGUGUUUUGGGAACAUGAGAUCACAGGUUCAAAUCCUGUAUCCCCGA